This 524-nucleotide ribosomal RNA is filed under the name uncultured bacterium. RNAcentral's name for it is "partial 16S ribosomal RNA". It matches the Rfam family "Bacterial small subunit ribosomal RNA", at positions 28 to 523 of the family's 1533-position model. The record is from RNAcentral.
GACGAACGCUGGCGGCGUGCCUAGUACAUGCAAGUCGAACGCUUCUUUUUCCACCGGAGCUUGCUCCACCGGAAAAAGAGGAGUGGCGAACGGGUGAGUAACACGUGGGUAACCUGCCCAUCAGAAGGGGAUAACACUUGGAAACAGGUGCUAAUACCGUAUAACAAUCGAAACCGCAUGGUUUUGAUUUGAAAGGCGCUUUCGGGUGUCGCUGAUGGUUGGACCCGCGGUGCAUUAGCUAGUUGGUGAGGUAACGGCUCACCAAGGCCACGAUGCAUAGCCGACCUGAGAGGGUGAUCGGCCACAUUGGGACUGAGACACGGCCCAAACUCCUACGGGAGGCAGCAGUAGGGAAUCUUCGGCAAUGGACGAAAGUCUGACCGAGCAACGCCGCGUGAGUGAAGAAGGUUUUCGGAUCGUAAAACUCUGUUGUUAGAGAAGAACAAGGAUGAGAGUAACUGUUCAUCCCUUGACGGUAUCUAACCAGAGAGCCACGGCUAACUACGUGCCAGCCGCCGCCGUAA